UACAGAAAACGCAUUAAUAUUAAUUUCAUAAACAAUGUGACUGUUCGAAAGCCUAUAAUUUACAUUGCAUUGUAUGUUCGGCUUAGAGUGUCGUUUGUCCUACGGUGUUCGGCGGUCAUUAAACGCACCACAAUGGGGGACAUUUUUUUCGGUUGAACAAUUCAUAGAUCUCUGAGCCUUAUUGCGCCUGAUACAUCAUAUCACCAGGUUGAUGCUGUGCGUGAAUGCAUAAAGGUAAAGGAGAGACGAUGACCAACACAAGUCAACACUUCUGUCAAUAUAAAGAAGAAAGCGAGGACAACGACGCCUACUGACCUGCUUCAUCAUGGUUGGCAGACAGCUUGUCCAGCAUCUCUCGGUCCACAUUCAGGAUAUGCUGCUCUAAGAUGCUGGCAUAGGAAAGAGGGUUCUCCUUCUUCUCCCGCUCAAAUGCCUGCAGGUGCUGCUUCAGGGCCUCAGGGAGGUGGGCCUUCACGUAGUCUGCUGCUGCCUGGGGUGGUGAGACACAGGAAAGGGUGAACAGCUGGCUUAAUAUCAGCAUAAGGUACCGUAGGCGCCGAUGAUGAUGGAUGAUCACCGAUUCUACAGUUUUUCAGAACAGUGUUGGCUAGUUUUUCC
Non-coding RNA from Doryrhamphus excisus (bluestripe pipefish), 618 nucleotides. Lineage: Eukaryota; Metazoa; Chordata; Actinopteri; Syngnathiformes; Syngnathidae. The record is from RefSeq and is a predicted model, not a curated record.